GAUGAAGAACGCAGCAAAAUGCGAUACUUGGUGUGAAUUGCAGAAUCCCGUGAACCAUCGAGUUUUUGAACGCAAGUUGCGCCCGAAGCCUUUUGGCCGAGGGCACGUCUGCCUGGGCGUCACGCAUCGCGUCGCCCCCCACAAUUCUCCGUAAAGGGAACUCGUGUUUUGGAGGCGGAUAUUGGUCUCCCGUGCUCACGGCGUGGUUGGCCGAAAUAGGAGUCCCUUCGAUGGACGCACGAACUAGUGGUGGUCGUAAAAACCCUCGUCUUUUGUUUCGUGCUGUUAGUCGCAAGGGAAACUCUAAGAAAACCCCAACGUGUCGUCUUUUGACGGCGCUUCGACCGCGACCCCAGGUCAGGCGGGACUACCCGCUGAGUUUAAGCAUAUCAAUAAGCGGAGGA
RNAcentral lists this unclassified non-coding RNA (404 nucleotides) under soil metagenome. Its description in RNAcentral is "partial contains 5.8S ribosomal RNA, internal transcribed spacer 2, and large subunit ribosomal RNA". The stretch from base 1 to 122 matches the Rfam family "5.8S ribosomal RNA", at positions 35 to 154 of the family's 154-position model. The record is from RNAcentral.